Molecule: unclassified non-coding RNA, 216 nt
Filed under: Borreliella burgdorferi (Lyme disease spirochete)
Lineage: Bacteria; Pseudomonadati; Spirochaetota; Spirochaetia; Spirochaetales; Borreliaceae
Description: partial 5S-23S ribosomal RNA intergenic spacer
Source: RNAcentral
UAUUUUAUAGCUUUAACUUUGAUUUUAUUUUUAUGUUUUUUAAAUAUUGGUGUUUUUGAAUCGUGUUGUUUAAAUAACAUAAAAAAUAAAAUAUAUAUUGACAUGUAUUAAACAAAGAUAUAUAUUAUUUUAUGUUGUAUAAAUAAAUUGGCAAAAUAGAGAUGGAAGAUAAAAAUAUGGUCAAAGUAAUAAGAGUCUAUGGUGAAUGCCUAGGAA